ACGAGGGGGGCAAAUGUUGUUCGGAAUCACUGGGCGUAAAGGGAGCGUAGGCGGGUUUUUAAGUCAGGUGUUUAAUCCCGGGGCCCAACCCCGGACAGGCACUUGAAACUGGGAAUCUUGAAUAGGGGAGAGGUCAGUGGAAUUGGAGGUGUAGCGGUGGAAUGCGUAGAGAUCUCCAAGAACACCAGUUGCGAAGGCGGCUGACUGGACCCAUAUUGACGCUGAGGCUCGAAAGCAUGGGGAGCAAACAGGA
RNAcentral lists this ribosomal RNA (253 nucleotides) under uncultured prokaryote. Its description in RNAcentral is "partial 16S ribosomal RNA". It matches the Rfam family "Bacterial small subunit ribosomal RNA", at positions 525 to 777 of the family's 1533-position model. The record is from RNAcentral.